AGUGAACGCUGGCGGUAGGCCUAACACAUGCAAGUCGGACGGCAGCACAGUAAGAGCUUGCUCUUACGGGUGGCGAGUGGCGGACGGGUGAGGAAUACAUCGGAAUCUACUUUUUCGUGGGGGAUAACGUAGGGAAACUUACGCUAAUACCGCAUACGACCUACGGGUGAAAGCAGGGGAUCUUCGGACCUUGCGCGAUUGAAUGAGCCGAUGUCGGAUUAGCUAGUUGGCGGGGUAAAGGCCCACCAAGGCGACGAUCCGUAGCUGGUCUGAGAGGAUGAUCAGCCACACUGGAACUGAGACACGGUCCAGACUCCUGCGAGAGGCAGCAGUGGGGAAUAUUGGACAAUGGGCGCAAGCCUGAUCCAGCCAUACCGCGUGGGUGAAGAAGGCCUUCGGGUUGUAAAGCCCUUUUGUUGGGAAAGAAAAGCAGCAGGUUAAUACCCCGCUGUUCUGACGGUACCCAAAGAAUAAGCACCGGCUAACUUCGUG
RNAcentral lists this ribosomal RNA (492 nucleotides) under uncultured bacterium. RNAcentral's name for it is "partial 16S ribosomal RNA". It matches the Rfam family "Bacterial small subunit ribosomal RNA", at positions 29 to 507 of the family's 1533-position model. The record is from RNAcentral.